UACGUAGGCAGCGAGCGUUGUUCGGAGUUACUGGGCGUAAAGAGUGCGUAGGCGGUUUUCUAAGGUUGGUGUGAAAUCUCCCGGCUUAACUGGGAGGGUGCGCCGAAAACUGGAAGGCUUGAGUAUGGGAGAGGUAAGCGGAAUUCCUGGUGUAGCGGUGAAAUGCGUAGAUAUCAGGAGGAACACCUGCGGUGUAGACGGCUUACUGGACCAUAACUGACGCUGAGGCACGAAAGCGUGGGUAGCAAACAGG
This 253-nucleotide ribosomal RNA is filed under the name uncultured bacterium. Its description in RNAcentral is "partial 16S ribosomal RNA". It matches the Rfam family "Bacterial small subunit ribosomal RNA", at positions 524 to 776 of the family's 1533-position model. The record is from RNAcentral.